Non-coding RNA from Sturnus vulgaris (Common starling), 296 nucleotides. Lineage: Eukaryota; Metazoa; Chordata; Aves; Passeriformes; Sturnidae. The record is from RefSeq and is a predicted model, not a curated record.
GGACCCCCAAGAAGGUUCUGAGAAGAUUUUGGGACCCCCAAGAAGGUUCUGGGGGGUUUUAAGAACUUUGAGAAAGUUCUGAGGGGUUCUCGGGGUCCCUCUGGAAGGUUCUGGGGGUUCUUGAGUCCCUCAGGAAGCUGUGAUGGGUUUGGGCUCCUUCUGGAAGGUUCUGGGAAGCUGUGAUGGGUCUGGGAUGCUCUGGAAGGUUCUGGGAAGCUCUGGAAGGUUCUGGGAAGCUGUGAUGGGUCUGGGGAUUCUCUGGAAGGGUCUGGGAAGCUGUGAUGGGUUUGGGCUCC